UACGGAGGAUGCAAGCGUUAUCCGGAAUGAUUGGGCGUAAAGCGUCUGCAGGUGGCAGUUCAAGUCUGCUGUCAAAGACCGGGGCUUAACUUCGGAAAGGCAGUGGAAACUGAACAGCUAGAGUAUGGUAGGGGCAGAGGGAAUUCCUGGUGUAGCGGUGAAAUGCGUAGAGAUCAGGAAGAACAUCGGUGGCGAAGGCGCUCUGCUGGACCAUAACUGACACUCAGGGACGAAAGCUAGGGGAGCGAAUGGG
RNAcentral lists this ribosomal RNA (253 nucleotides) under uncultured bacterium. RNAcentral's name for it is "partial 16S ribosomal RNA". It matches the Rfam family "Bacterial small subunit ribosomal RNA", at positions 524 to 776 of the family's 1533-position model. The record is from RNAcentral.